This 596-nucleotide ribosomal RNA is filed under the name Vibrio sp. RNAcentral's name for it is "bacterial SSU rRNA". It matches the Rfam family "Bacterial small subunit ribosomal RNA", at positions 149 to 740 of the family's 1533-position model. The record is from RNAcentral. Lineage: Bacteria; Pseudomonadati; Pseudomonadota; Gammaproteobacteria; Vibrionales; Vibrionaceae.
AUUGGAAACGAUGGCUAAUACCGCAUAAUGCCUACGGGCCAAAGAGGGGGACCUUCGGGCCCCUCGCGUCAAGAUAUGCCUAGGUGGGAUUAGCUAGUUGGUGAGGUAAUGGCUCACCAAGGCGACGAUCCCUAGCUGGUCUGAGAGGAUGAUCAGCCACACUGGAACUGAGACACGGUCCAGACUCCUACGGCCGGCAGCAGUGGGGAAUAUUGCACAAUGGGCGCAAGCCUGAUGCAGCCAUGCCGCGUGUAUGAAGAAGGCCUUCGGGUUGUAAAGUACUUUCAGCAGUGAGGAAGGGGGUGUCGUUAAUAGCGGCAUCUCUUGACGUUAGCUGCAGAAGAAGCACCGGCUAACUCCGUGCCAGCAGCCGCGGUAAUACGGAGGGUGCGAGCGUUAAUCGGAAUUACUGGGCGUAAAGCGCAUGCAGGUGGUUUGUUAAGUCAGAUGUGAAAGCCCGGGGCUCAACCUCGGAACUGCAUUUGAAACUGGCAAACUAGAGUACUGUAGAGGGGGGUAGAAUUUCAGGUGUAGCGGUGAAAUGCGUAGAGAUCUGAAGGAAUACCAGUGGCGAAGGCGGCCCCCUGGACAGAUAC